This 29-nucleotide non-coding RNA is filed under the name Mus musculus (house mouse). Lineage: Eukaryota; Metazoa; Chordata; Mammalia; Rodentia; Muridae. The record is from RNAcentral.
GCAACAAAAUAGGUUGUCAUCACAUGGUC